UUCCGUAGGGGUGACCUGCGGAAGGAUCAUUACCGAGUCGGCUCUCGCAGCCCAACCUCCCACCCGUGUUUACCGUGACCCUGUUGCUUCGGCGGGCCCACUGGGCCUCUGCCUGGUCGCCGGGGGGCGUCUCGUCCCCGGGUCCGCGCCCGCCGGAGAAUCUCUGAACCCUGUCUGAAGUAAGUGUCUGAGUGAAGAUUUUAAAUCAUUAAAACUUUCAACAACGGAUCUCUUGGUUCCGGCAUCGAUGAAGAACGCAGCGAAAUGCGAUAAGUAAUGUGAAUUGCAGAAUUCCGUGAAUCAUCGAAUCUUUGAACGCACAUUGCGCCCCCUGGCAUUCCGGGGGGCAUGCCUGUCCGAGCGUCAUUUCACCCCCUCAAGCACGGCUUGUGUGUUGGGCGUUGUCCCCUCGGGGACAUGUCCGAAAGGCAGUGGCGGCGCCGCGUUGGGUCCUCGAGCGUAUGGGGCUUUGUCACUCGCUCGGGAAAGGACCUGCGGGCGUUGGUCUUCCUUGUACAGCCCCUGUGGUUGUCUUUUAUGGUGACCUCGAUCAGUAGCCCGCUGAACUUAAGCAUAUCAAUAAGCGGAGGAA
This 592-nucleotide ribosomal RNA is filed under the name Talaromyces resedanus. RNAcentral describes it as "eukaryotic LSU rRNA". The stretch from base 213 to 366 matches the Rfam family "5.8S ribosomal RNA". Lineage: Eukaryota; Fungi; Ascomycota; Eurotiomycetes; Eurotiales; Trichocomaceae. The record is from RNAcentral.